RNAcentral lists this long non-coding RNA (479 nucleotides) under Setaria viridis. RNAcentral describes it as "long non-coding RNA (SVIR_LNC004116)". The record is from RNAcentral. Lineage: Eukaryota; Viridiplantae; Streptophyta; Magnoliopsida; Poales; Poaceae.
UGUAUCGUAAAAGAGCUAGCGGUUAAUGGCAGUAGUGAUUGCUUGCGUGGAACAUCCAUUUCAAUGGUACGGGACUACUGGAGGCGGGUGGGGCAGUUAGGGAGGCUGGGUGUUUGGAUCUAAACAUUAUGGGGCAUGGGUGGAGAUGGGAUAGGGGGAAGGAGAAGGCUGGUCAUCAUCUGUAUUGGUGGAAACUGGUGGUAGGGUUGGAUUCGCUGCUGUGCGGGUGGAGAACAUGAGACGAGCAGGUGUCAAGUGGAGGAUACAGUGGAGCUUACAGGCGUAGGACGAAGAAAACCAAAGUACUACUAGAAAAAUAAAAAAAUGUGUUUCGGUCUACUCCCCAAAAUCCUAAAUAUAUUUGCCAGAUAUAUAAUCGAUUCUAGUGCUAGUACUUAGUACCGAGUCUAACGACCGUCCCACAUAGAGGACCCUUUAGUACAGAUUGGCAUAUGAUCCAAUACUAAAGCUCAUUUUAG